Molecule: ribosomal RNA, 372 nt
Filed under: uncultured organism
Description: bacterial SSU rRNA
Rfam family: Bacterial small subunit ribosomal RNA
Source: RNAcentral
CAGAGGGGGCAAGCGUUAUUCGGAAUUAUUGGGCGUAAAGGGCGCGUAGGCGGCCUUGCAAGUGACGGGUGAAAUCCCUCGGCUUAACCGAGGAACUGCCUGUCAAACUGCAUGGCUUGAGACCGGGAGAGGUGAGUGGAAUUCCCAGUGUAGCGGUGAAAUGCGUAGAUAUUGGGAGGAACACCAGUGGCGAAGGCGGCUCACUGGACCGGUACUGACGCUGAUGCGCGAAAGCGUGGGGAGCAAACAGGAUUAGAUACCCUGGUAGUCCACGCCGUAAACGAUGAGUGCUUGGUGUAGCGGGUAUCGACCCCUGCUGUGCCGAAGUCAACACAUUAAGCACUCCGCCUGGGGAGUACGGUCGCAAGGCCG